Molecule: ribosomal RNA, 467 nt
Filed under: uncultured bacterium
Lineage: Bacteria
Description: partial 16S ribosomal RNA
Rfam family: Bacterial small subunit ribosomal RNA
Source: RNAcentral
GACGAACGCUGGCGGCGUGCUUAACACAUGCAAGUCGAACGGAAAGGCCCUGCUUUUGUGGGGUGCUCGAGUGGCGAACGGGUGAGUAACACGUGAGUAACCUGCCCUUGACUUUGGGAUAACUUCAGGAAACUGGGGCUAAUACCGGAUAGGAACUCCUGCUGCAUGGUGGGGGUUGGAAAGUUUCGGCGGUUGGGGAUGGACUCGCGGCUUAUCAGCUUGUUGGUGGGGUAGUGGCUUACCAAGGCUUUGACGGGUAGCCGGCCUGAGAGGGUGACCGGCCACAUUGGGACUGAGAUACGGCCCAGACUCCUACGGGAGGCAGCAGUGGGGAAUAUUGCACAAUGGGCGGAAGCCUGAUGCAGCAACGCCGCGUGCGGGAUGACGGCCUUCGGGUUGUAAACCGCUUCCGCCUGUGACGAAGCGUGAGUGACGGUAAUGGGUAAAGAAGCACCGGCUAACUACGU